GCUCUGUGGUUUAGACCACAGUGCCACCCGCGUCCCUCCCCUUAUACUGAGAUCUCCAGAUCUUAUACUGAUACACCUCCCUUUAUACUGAGCCUCCAGAGGCCCUGAUUCCUAUGCCUCCAUCAUCUGAACUAUAGUGGGUAGUAAUACAGGACAGGACUUUCUCUGCGGCAGCACCUAAGCUCUGGAACUCCCAUCCUAAGAACUUUUACCUUACUUGCAUCUUUGGGGAAGAGCUCUGCAGUAGAGAAUCUGCUUUCUUAAUCCCUGACAUCUCUAGGCAGGGAGAUAAUCCUGCCUGAAACCCUCAGUGGUAUAGCGUGGGUUGCCAGUGCCUAGGGCCACAUGGAGGGGAAGAGGGAGAGAGGAAAAUGGACAGAGUAAGCUUGCACAUUCAACUGCCUGACGGCAUCCGCGUCACCCAGGAGAUCGUAGCCACAGAGAUAAGAAAAGAAGAGUCCUUCUGUCACCUGGAGAAGUCACUUCCUGGUUUGCAUGGAGAAGACGUUUUCAGUGGAGUCUAGCAAUAGAAGCACACAGCUGUAUUCAAGCAGCACUGGGUGUUGAAAUUUUGCACCUCUAACUAUUUUGCACCCAGGGCAACCACCCCAUGGCCCCCUCCAUGCUACAAUACUGGAAACCCUGGAGACCCACUGCCAGUGUAGUGUAGGCAAUACUGAGCAAGAAGGACCAUUGCUCUAACUCAGUAUGCGGCAGCUUCCUAUGCUCCUCUGCUCAAGCCAAGGCAGCCCUCAUUUGGAGGGUUUGGGGUUGCACCCAUUUCUGCUGGUCUGAUUAAUGUGACUACUAGGUGUUUUGGUUUUUUAAAAAAAUUUGGAUGGAUUAUUAUGAUUUUAUUGAUACUAUUAUUCUUUUAAUGCACCAUCAUUUUAGUAAAGUCUCAAAGGCAGCUGAUAAAGCAUAUUAAGAAAAAUAAUAUAAAUUUAACAUGUUUUGUUUGCCAGCUCAACAAGUAGUUUAUAAAUCUAAAGUGAUAGCCAGCUAAAUCAUGCUCUGAACAGACCUAACUGAAAUUGAUUAACUAAUCAUCUUUUGGUAUUGUU
This is a non-coding RNA of Podarcis lilfordi (Lilford's wall lizard), 1064 nucleotides long. The record is from the annotation of a GenBank genome assembly. NCBI's taxonomy places the organism in Eukaryota, Metazoa, Chordata, Lepidosauria, Squamata, Lacertidae.